GAGCGGAGAUGAGGUGCUUGCACCUUAUCUUAGCGGCGGACGGGUGAGUAAUGCUUAGGAAUCUGCCUAUUAGUGGGGGACAACAUUUCGAAAGGAAUGCUAAUACCGCAUACGCCCUACGGGGGAAAGCAGGGGAUCUUCGGACCUUGCGCUAAUAGAUGAGCCUAAGUCGGAUUAGCUAGUUGGUGGGGUAAAGGCCUACCAAGGCGACGAUCUGUAGCGGGUCUGAGAGGAUGAUCCGCCACACUGGGACUGAGACACGGCCCAGACUCCUACGGGAGGCAGCAGUGGGGAAUAUUGGACAAUGGGGGGAACCCUGAUCCAGCCAUGCCGCGUGUGUGAAGAAGGCCUUUUGGUUGUAAAGCACUUUAAGCGAGGAGGAGGAGCUCUAGAUUAAUACUCUAGAUGCUUGGACGUUACUCGCAGAAUAAGCACCGGCUAACUCUGUG
RNAcentral lists this ribosomal RNA (449 nucleotides) under uncultured bacterium. Its description in RNAcentral is "bacterial SSU rRNA". It matches the Rfam family "Bacterial small subunit ribosomal RNA", at positions 64 to 507 of the family's 1533-position model. The record is from RNAcentral.